GAUGAACGCUGGCGGCGUGCUUAACACAUGCAAGUCGAACGAAGCACCUUGAUUCGAUUCUUCGGAUGAAGAUCUUGGUGACUGAGUGGCGGACGGGUGAGUAACGCGUGGGUAACCUGCCUCAUACAGGGGGAUAACAGUUAGAAAUGACUGCUAAUACCGCAUAAGACCACAGCACCGCAUGGUGCAGGGGUAAAAACUCCGGUGGUAUGAGAUGGACCCGCGUCUGAUUAGGUAGUUGGUGGGGUAACGGCCUACCAAGCCGACGAUCAGUAGCCGACCGGAGAGGGUGACCGGCCACAUUGGGACUGAGACACGGCCCAAACUCCUACGGGAGGCAGCAGUGGGGAAUAUUGCACAAUGGGGGAAACCCUGAUGCAGCGACGCCGCGUGAGCGAUGAAGUAUUUCGGUAUGUAAAGCUCUAUCAGCAGGGAAGAAAAUGACGGUACCUGACUAAGAAGCACCGGCUAAAUACGUG
RNAcentral lists this ribosomal RNA (479 nucleotides) under uncultured bacterium. RNAcentral's name for it is "partial 16S ribosomal RNA". It matches the Rfam family "Bacterial small subunit ribosomal RNA", at positions 28 to 507 of the family's 1533-position model. The record is from RNAcentral.